Molecule: long non-coding RNA, 1405 nt
Filed under: Physcomitrium patens
Lineage: Eukaryota; Viridiplantae; Streptophyta; Bryopsida; Funariales; Funariaceae
Description: long non-coding RNA (PPAT_LNC013362)
Source: RNAcentral
UAGAAAAUAAGAUUUAAUAGAAUUUAUUUUGAAAUCUCUUUUAAGACUAGAAAAUUAUUAUAAUCUGACUAUGCACAUGUAUUCCACAUAUAAUAUUAUUAGUUAACUUGCUAGAAUUGCUUGAGUUUUGAGAUAGUAUAUAUAUUUAUAUAUAUUUGAACAUGAUUUAAUGUAUUACAAUUGUAUAUAAAUAUAUAUAGAAACUUUGAUGUUUUUUAUUUUUUAUUUUCUGCACAAUUGUGUUUUUACUUAUUCAUAAUUAUACAUUAAGGUGUAUCAAUAAAAACAUUAUAUCUAUCAGUUGUUAUAAGAUUCUAAAAAUAUGAGUGCCAAACCUCUUCUUCUUUUUUACUAUGUUUUAAUUAAAUAAAUCAUAAUUGUAGAUGUAAGGUUAAUAACACACAUCUGAAUUCUACAAGCAUUGUUUUUUGUCAUAAAAAGUAUUGUAUGUAAGAUGUCACUCUUCACCUGUACAAUAUUGCACCAGCAUUCACCAAUUUGCCAUUAUAUCCCUAAAUGAUUGGUACCUACACUAAUAAGUUCAUUCCCCAUAAUUCAAUGAUUAGCUUGUGUGUGUGCUUUGUAACAAGUCCAAAGCAAUUGCACAUGGAAUUGCUUCUCAAAGUUGCCUUUGCAAAGUCCACUCUUUACAAACCAAGAUAAAUUUAUUAAAAUACAUCUCAUUGGAUCUCCUAUUCCAGUGAUGAGAUUCAAAAGCAUGCUUAGGGUACCUUUUUGUAAUGAAUUAGAGCAUGUGUUUAUAUUGCCAAAUAAAGAAAUGUAAUGUGGCAUCAAUUGGGUUCACCCAAUAGUUGUAGAGGAAGUGUCCUUUUUGUCCCUUUUUAAUGAAUUUGUUUUGUGGGUGCCAGGUUGUCAUGGAGCUCUUUCCAUCUGGAAUCUCAGUUCUGGGUCCUUGUGUGCUAUGGUGUUUUGCGGUGUAAUUUGUUCAUUUUCGUCUCAAAAAAAACACUAAUCUCUUGUCAAAUCUGUGAGGUGAAUAAAAUAUGCAUAAAACCAACCAACCGCUUCAAAUAAGUUAAUUUCAAUCAAUCAUUAGUAUUUACUUCCUUAUUGUUCUUUUCAUGACUAGUUGCAAAAUGAUAAGCUUACUGUGCUAAAUGCAUGGCAGCAGAUUGUGAAACCAUGUUGUUUGACAUGAUCCAUCAAAAUGGAACCCUAAUGAUUUAUCUAAAAAAUAUUGCAUAGUUCAAGUUUGUUGGAUACUUGUCUUAAAACAUGGAACAGAAGUAAAAAAUCUCCCAAAACUUUAUUGAAAGAAUAAUAAGAUUCAUGAUUUGGUAUUAGUAACUUAUCAAAUUGCUUAUCUUGUGUUGCAUUGCAAAAAAAGUAAUAAGAUGCAUUCCAUCCAUUCACCUGUAUUCACAGUCAUUCACAGUCAUGUUUU